AGUGAACGCUGGCGGUAGGCCUAACACAUGCAAGUCGAACGGCAGCACAGUAAGAGCUUGCUCUUUCGGGUGGCGAGUGGCGGACGGGUGAGGAAUACAUCGGAAUCUACUUUUUCGUGGGGGAUAACGUAGGGAAACUUACGCUAAUACCGCAUACGACCUACGGGUGAAAGCAGGGGAUCUUCGGACCUUGCGCGAUUGAAUGAGCCGAUGUCGGAUUAGCUAGUUGGCGGGGUAAAGGCCCACCAAGGCGACGAUCCGUAGCUGGUCUGAGAGGAUGAUCAGCCUCACUGGAACUGAGACACGGUCCAGACUCCUACGGGAGGCAGCAGUGGGGAAUAUUGGACAAUGGGCGCAAGCCUGAUCCAGCCAUACCGCGUGGGUGAAGAAGGCCUUCGGGUUGUAAAGCCCUUUUGUUGGGAAAGAAAAGCAGCAGGUUAAUACCCCGCUGUUCUGACGGUACCCAAAGAAUAAGCACCGGCUAACUUCGUG
Molecule: ribosomal RNA, 492 nt
Filed under: uncultured bacterium
Lineage: Bacteria
Description: partial 16S ribosomal RNA
Rfam family: Bacterial small subunit ribosomal RNA
Source: RNAcentral